GAUGAACGCUGGCGGCGUGCCUAAUACAUGCAAGUCGAGCGAACAGACGAGGAGCUUGCUCCUCUGACGUUAGCGGCGGACGGGUGAGUAACACGUGGAUAACCUACCUAUAAGACUGGGAUAACUUCGGGAAACCGGAGCUAAUACCGGAUAACAUGUUGAACCGCAUGGUUCAACAGUGAAAGACGGUCUUGCUGUCACUUAUAGAUGGAUCCGCGCCGCAUUAGCUAGUUUGUAAGGUAACGGCUUACCAAGGCAACGAUGCGUAGCCGACCUGAGAGGGUGAUCGGCCACACUGGAACUGAGACACGGUCCAGACUCCUACGGGAGGCAGCAGUAGGGAAUCUUCCGAAAUGGGCGAAAGCCUGACGGAGCAACGCCGCGUGAGUGAAGAAGGUCUUCGGAUCGUAAAACUCUGUUAUUAGGGAAGAACAAAUGAGUAAGUAACUAUGCACGUAUUGACGGUACCUAAUCAGAAAGCCACGGCUAACUACGUG
RNAcentral lists this ribosomal RNA (497 nucleotides) under uncultured bacterium. Its description in RNAcentral is "partial 16S ribosomal RNA". It matches the Rfam family "Bacterial small subunit ribosomal RNA", at positions 28 to 507 of the family's 1533-position model. The record is from RNAcentral.